Trachemys scripta elegans is the source of this 802-nucleotide long non-coding RNA. RefSeq lists it as uncharacterized. NCBI's taxonomy places the organism in Eukaryota, Metazoa, Chordata, Testudines, Emydidae. The transcript is spliced from 3 exons. The record is from RefSeq and is a predicted model, not a curated record.
CUCACAGAAAUAGUUCUCUCUGCAUUGGUGAUGGGACUGUUACCUUUCUGUCAUCGUAAAAGAGUAUGCGCUUUGCAUAUAUCAGGCUGUUGAAACCUCUUUCAAGUGUGCCCCGCUGGUCUAUCUGAAUUAGAAGAUGGAGGAAUCUGAAGCAAUUGGGAAGCAAGAGGAGCCAGUGAUUGUAUUGCCACCAUGUUGUAGGAGCAAUGUGCUUGGCAGAUUCACAGAUUGCAUUGUUGGACCAAACACCUGAAGAGAUUCUGUAUUCUGCAACAUUCGAAGCAGGUGUCAAUCUCCCAGUCCACUGAGGAGAAGUGAUAUCUCUGGGAUGAGUGGUCUGCUCACUGGGACAAGUCUGGAGGACAGCAGCCUCAGGGUAGCAGCUGUCCUACACCAAACUCCACUUCUAGGACAGAAGUCACCAGAGGACGGCAGGCAGCAAUCCACAAAAAGGACCCUUGUACUCACUCCUAUUCUCUAGUAGAGAUGGCAGUGCCCGCUGCUUAUUGGGGCUGUAAGAAUAUGCCUCCGGGGUUUACACUGAUAAAUAUAUGGUAUAUAGAUCUUCAGAAUAUAGGAACUUGUAAUUGGCUAAUAUUAUAAGUUUUGAAAUAAUGUGACUUCAUUUGAAAUACUUAUUAGUUAUUAGUAAGGCUCCAUGUUUGUCACAGAGGUCACAGCUUCUGUGACUUUCCAUGACCUCCGUGACUUCUGCAGCAGCCAGAGCGCCUGGCCCAGGGGUCACCUGAUCACCUCGGGCAGCCCCUGGGUCAGGCACAUCAGUCGUGGCUAGGGCAGUCAC